CGAAACCGUCGCAACCUCUCGGGGAAAGGGGUUGAGCGCCGGGGAGCUCACGGCGGCUUCCCAAGGGAGGGAGCAGCGCGGUGCCCCCCCGGGAUUAGGAAUAAACCAUGUCCAUGUAGAAGAAACCCAGUCCUUCUCUUCCAGGCUGGCGAGAGCGGGUCCUACCUGCCUCGGACCCCCCUGCGCCCGAUCAAAGGCCCCUGACCCCAAAAUGACGCGGGAUCGAUGGCUCUGGAACAGGGUCCAAGGGUGCCAGGAGCGUAGGGGCACCUCAGCAGAAUCCCUAUUGCCAGGGUUCCAGGAAUCGAGCCAUCUCCACAAUGUAUUUUUAUUCUGUCUAAUUAAUAGGGCACUAGGGAGCAUCAAAGGAAUUUUAAGGGGAAGGAGAAGGGAGGGAAGAUGCUGAAGCUGGGUCAUUCCCAAGACUUUGGGUUUGCAAGGUCCGCUGACUCAUCUGGAGAGAGGGCUGCAGCACUUGGAUACUGUGCGGCGGCAGGGCUCCUGCACAGAGUGAUGGAUCUCAGGUUACAGAGUGCUGGUGCAAUUAAUGGGACCCAUUUCCAGGCUUCCUAGGCAAAAUUGGCAUUACUUGCAACAGGUGAGCAAUGCGUGCUGCAGCCCCAGGACAGCCUGGCAACCUUGUCCAGAGGCUGCAGUUCCUGUAUCAGUUCCUAGAGCUGCUUGUCGGGAAUCACUCAGCCUAAAAGAACUCCUGGGAUCCCAGUCCCUGCCUCCCCAUUUCAAAAUGCAUGGGUGAGAAUAAAACUAUAUCCAUAA
This is a long non-coding RNA of Pogoniulus pusillus (Red-fronted tinkerbird), 777 nucleotides long. RefSeq lists it as uncharacterized. Lineage: Eukaryota; Metazoa; Chordata; Aves; Piciformes; Lybiidae. The record is from RefSeq and is a predicted model, not a curated record. The transcript is spliced from 2 exons.